UAAAUCGGUCAUAUAAGAUAA
RNAcentral lists this non-coding RNA (21 nucleotides) under Caenorhabditis elegans. The record is from RNAcentral. Lineage: Eukaryota; Metazoa; Nematoda; Chromadorea; Rhabditida; Rhabditidae.